Molecule: ribosomal RNA, 471 nt
Filed under: uncultured bacterium
Lineage: Bacteria
Description: bacterial SSU rRNA
Rfam family: Bacterial small subunit ribosomal RNA
Source: RNAcentral
GGGGACCCGCAAGCGGUGGAUGAUGUGGAUUAAUUCGAUGCAACGCGAAAAACCUUACCUACCCUUGACAUGUACGGAAGGCCUGAGAGAUCUGGGUGUGCUCGAAAGAGAACCGUAACACAGGUGCUGCAUGGCUGUCGUCAGCUCGUGUCGUGAGAUGUUGGGUUAAGUCCCGCAACGAGCGCAACCCUUGUCAUUAGUUGCUACGAAAGGGCACUCUAAUGAGACUGCCGGUGACAAACCGGAGGAAGGUGGGGAUGACGUCAAGUCCUCAUGGCCCUUAUGGGUAGGGCUUCACACGUCAUACAAUGGUACAUACAGAGGGCCGCCAACCCGCGAGGGGGAGCUAAUCCCAGAAAGUGUAUCGUAGUCCGGAUCGCAGUCUGCAACUCGACUGCGUGAAGUUGGAAUCGCUAGUAAUCGCGGAUCAGCAUGUCGCGGUGAAUACGUUCCCGGGGUCUUGUACACACC